GUUGCAGAGAGAAUGGUGUUGUUGAUUGUUGCACAGAAAAUGAUAUUUUAAGACCCUAGGAGUGUUGCGUACUCUGAAGGGAUUAUUAACAAAGAUACGGUGACUCUGGGUGUAAAGCGCAAACUUCAGGCAGAGCUUGGAGCGGGCAUAAUUAGAACAGACGGUAAAUGUCGCAGCAACGGACAGUAACUCACCGGACGCAUCAACAAGAACUCAUUUGCUGCCAAACGUUCCAUUUGAAAGGACUACUAAUUUGCUGAAGUGGUUCAUGGACUGUUGGAGAUCACCAUAAUAAGAGGCCCCUGAAGGCAAUGAGAGCAGCCCAAGCAAUCAGGACCCUAUUCAGACAGCAUUUGUGGCUCUGGGCUGUCAUUAUCAGUCAAUUCCCCAUUAUAGACAUCAAACCAUUCAACAACGUCGAAAGUUGCCUAUUUCAAGAGGAAAUAUGCGGAGGAGGAGGAUUUACAUGGAGACCUACAUGGAUAUUUUCAAAAACACUUGAUGCGUCAGGAGGACCGCAGCUGCAUCCUCAAGCUCUCUUUAGAAAAGCUGAGGUUCCUGGAGGACCCUGAGGCCUACCUGCGACGAUCUGUGCUCAUCAACAACCUGCUGAGGAAGAUCCACCAUGAGAAGGAGGAGGAGGGGGAGGAAGAGGAGAGGCAGAGGGCCUUUGACAGAGGCCCAGGUUGCCAACGACUGCUCUAUCCAGACAGGAAGCGUGUGAAGGUAGUGGUGGCAGACUGCUGCUCUCAGUCCUUUGGGCUUGAAGAGAUACCCCACUAUCACCUAGUGCCCUACACCUCCCCUACCUGCCUCUAUGACCUGGGGACAUGUCCCAGCAUCUCCCCUGGCCACAGGCCUCCGGUUCUGCUUUACAAACUGGACGAUAACGGGUGACUGUGAUUUGCUGUAAAAGUCUGUGUAGAAAUCCAAAUGGACCACGCACAUCAAUGUAAUUGACAGGGAGCAGUUUGGUGACAGAACCCUCUUUACCCUCAGAGCUGCAUUCUGUAACCUGCAGCCUGACACUACAUACAUGCAAAAUGGGAGGCUCCUACUUCUCUGUGAUUUCUGACAGGGUCAACCAAUCAAGUCCAAAUCAGGGUCUGUAUUCAAAGGGCGUCAUUGUCACAGCGUCACUGCCUUUACGUUCUAAUGUGAGAGACAGAGAUUCCUUGCAGGAAUGUGUUCUGAUGGUUAUUGCUCAUGUAAACCUUGAGCAUAUUCAGGGAUACACACAACUCAUGCACCUUGCCUGUACCCAAGAAACAGACAAGGUUUGUAUUUAGAGGUUUGGAUGUCUGCUGUUAUGCUUGUGUGACCAUCAGACUACUCUGUUGUGUAUUUAGCAUUUUUCUUUCAUCAAACAUAUCUCUAACGUUAAAUAGUGGACUACUUGUAAAACAUGAUUGAAAUGCAUAUGAAAGAUUUUCAAAUUCAAAUACCACUCAUUGAGGUAUUUUGUUGAAGAAUUAAGCAUUCUACAUUUGAUAUAGGGAUUUUGGUGUAUGUCAACAUUCUCUGGACAAAUCAAUUGGCACAAAUGUCUGUGACACUGUAAUGCCUUUUUGUUGUUUUUCUGUUUGUAACUACAACACUUUGCUGCCCUCCUGUGGUCAAUUUAAAUGUGUGAGUUUGAGGGACUGGUGGUUUCAGACAGCAUUAAGACAAUAUUUAUAUUUUCUUGUCUGAUUAAAUCAGCUUUGUAGUGCAAGCAUCUGUUUUUAUGUUGAAUCUAUUAAGGCCAAGAAUUAUAAAACAGAACAUUAUGUUGUUUAAUAGUCUCAUCUUGACUGUGACAGUUUUAUUCUGACUAAAUAAUGCUUUUUCUCAAAGAGAAAACCCUUUUUAGUGCUUAUGUUAUUGUCACAACAGCACAUGGUUAUAUUUCAAUGUCUGAUUACAUCCAGGUCAAACAAUUCCCAGUUUGUUUAUAUUUCACUUGUCCUGUAUAUUUUCAAGUAUGUCGCAGGCAUUCAAUAUUAAGAUGUUACAUCAAAAAAGGAAAGGUAACCAUUUAUGAAUAUUUAAAUAACUUUUUUUAUGUUUGGGACAAUGUGAAUAUCAAUUGCUAAGUUUAAUUUUUCCUGUAUUUGGGAGUACAGAUGUUUUGGUUUGCUCAGUCUAAGGAAUAUUGUUUCACAAUAAAUGUUUCACAAAUAAUGACUUAAAUGAAAUCUGAAAUGCAAAAACGUGAUAGAAUAUUAGUACUGAAUAUAUAUUUGGAAGAAAAUUGACAUGUUUCUCAUUAAAGAUUAGCUACU
Molecule: long non-coding RNA, 2264 nt
Organism: Esox lucius (northern pike)
Lineage: Eukaryota; Metazoa; Chordata; Actinopteri; Esociformes; Esocidae
Exons: 4
Source: RefSeq, a predicted model, not a curated record